AGCUCAUCCAGAGGGGCAGAGGGACCGGCCCAGUGAAGCCCCGGCAACCGUCGUCGACAAAUUCGUGAUUCUUCCCGCGAGGCCGUCGACGAAAAAGGUGCCAAUUCCGACCCACUACGGGACAGAUGAGGA
This 132-nucleotide non-coding RNA is filed under the name Saccharopolyspora rectivirgula. RNAcentral's name for it is "SAM-I sequence". It matches the Rfam family "SAM riboswitch aptamer (S box leader)". From Rfam's summary of the family: The SAM riboswitch is found upstream of a number of genes which code for proteins involved in methionine or cysteine biosynthesis in Gram-positive bacteria. The SAM riboswitch acts at the level of transcription termination control. Lineage: Bacteria; Bacillati; Actinomycetota; Actinomycetes; Pseudonocardiales; Pseudonocardiaceae. The record is from Rfam by way of RNAcentral.